CUAAUUGGGUGAGUUUUUAUUGUAGAAAUGCGGCCCCUGAAGAUGUGAAACGCGUAGGUGGGCCCCUGCGCCUUUCCACUGGCCUCCCACUGCCCGUGCCCACAGAAGGAACACAGGGUCCUUAGACCCGGGCGGGACCCACUGAAACCCCGCGUUCGGUCAUUUCCCCAGGGGGAUGCGGCCCCGGAGUGCCAACCUUCCAAAGUUCAGGUGAGUUCACGACGCUGAGAUCCUAGUGGGGUCCUCCUCGGUGUCAAGGAGCAAGAGAGGUGGUGGCAGCAGUGGGGAAACAGCCACAGGGCCUGCGAGUCCAGACAGGUAGCUCCAGGCUAGUUGCACGCUCGCGGUUCCUGUCCCUUCCGUGUGCAAAGUAAGGAAGUCAGCAGGAAGGUUUCCCGACUGGACCCUUUGUCCAGAGGAAGAAAGAUUCGGCCAAGGGAUGAGAACCACGGUACCUACAGGUACUGGAAUCGAGACCCUACACAGCCUCCCGACGCCUCGGUCUCCCUUUCCGCUGGGGUUGCCACUCUAGUUCAGGAAGGGUCUUUGGGUCAGGGCGCAGUGUUCCCAGGGGCCAGCGAUCCCCGGCAUCAUGCCCUCUCUACCAGGCUCAAGCUGGCUGCUCUUGGCUAGGUCGGGACUGGGGGCCCGGCGGCCGUGGCUCAGUCCCACACUACACCGGCCGCGUCUUCCAGGGCGCGCGGGCAUCGCGCAGCGAGCGGUCGUGGGGCAGCGCGGCAAAGGCCGAAUGGCGCAGCUGGCAACCGAUGAAGAGGACGACGAGCGCCACCGAGAGCAGCAGCAGGAAGAAGAGCAGCAGGUAGGUGGGCAGGUCGGGCUUUGUGGCCGCGCCGUCCCGCAUACCGCGCGCAGUGGCCAGCUCCAGCGGCAAAGCGCCUUCUGCCUUGACCGUGGCUCCUGGGGCCAGCGCGCUGUCUACCGCCGCCUCGGGGCCGCCCGUGGCGUUGAAUAUGUCGCCGUACAUGGCCCGCGGGUCCCGCCGACCCCAGCCGGACCGCUUCACUUGGCCUGGAGCAUACUGGCGAAACCCGGCGCCUCCAUGGCGCGCCUCUCCCGCCCUGCCGCGCUCAACUGACCGAGAGUCAGUGCCUUGGGCUGGCGGGGACUGCAAAGACCCCAGGACGCGUCCGCUCACUCGCCUCUGCCCUCAGCUGCCUUCCCUGCCGGCGGGCGGACCCCAGUGCUCGGAGCUGGAGAGUUCUAUGCCGCGUCCUCGGGCUCACCGUUUCUCACCGUCGCCACCAGGACAGAGGUCCCAGUCACUGACUCGUCUUUCGGCUUUACAACAGCCAGCUCAGCUCGGACCCUCAGCUCCAGUGAGCUCCAGGUGCCGGGCACCUCUGGGCUGCGGCUGCUGGGAGAGGCACUCAGCGAGUGCAGCCGCAGCCCGGGGUCUCUGCUCAGCGCUGGUGGCAGAGCGCACGGAGGGCGGGUGGCCAGAGAGUCCUCCGCAUCCUCCGGCGCUGCCGUCACCGCAGCGUCUCGGAGCAGUCCUGCAGCCUCGGGUCCCUGUCGAGACGCCCGGUGUUCGGCGAGCUUGUCCCCACUCGCUCCGGCUGCUGCACUCCUGUUUUGAGC
RNAcentral lists this long non-coding RNA (1599 nucleotides) under Macaca fascicularis (crab-eating macaque). RNAcentral describes it as "lncRNA (ENSMFAG00000054821.1)". Lineage: Eukaryota; Metazoa; Chordata; Mammalia; Primates; Cercopithecidae. The record is from RNAcentral.